Molecule: ribosomal RNA, 253 nt
Filed under: uncultured bacterium
Lineage: Bacteria
Description: partial 16S ribosomal RNA
Rfam family: Bacterial small subunit ribosomal RNA
Source: RNAcentral
UACGUAGGGUGCAAGCGUUGUCCGGAAUUAUUGGGCGUAAAGAGCUCGUAGGCGGUCUGUCGCGUCUGCUGUGAAAACUCGGGGCUUAACCCCGGGCCUGCAGUGGGUACGGGCAGACUAGAGUGCGGUAGGGGAGACUGGAAUUCCUGGUGUAGCGGUGAAAUGCGCAGAUAUCAGGAAGAACACCAACGGCGAAGGCAGCUCGCUGGGACGGUACUGACGCUGAGACGCGAAAGCGUGGGGAGCGAACAGG